This 104-nucleotide small nuclear RNA is filed under the name Sciurus vulgaris (Eurasian red squirrel). The record is from RNAcentral. Lineage: Eukaryota; Metazoa; Chordata; Mammalia; Rodentia; Sciuridae.
GUGCUCACUUCAGUAGCACAUAUUCUAAAAUUGGAAUACAAAGAAGAUUAGCAUGGCCCCUGCACAAGAAUAACAGGCAAAUUUGUGAAGCAUUCCAUAUUUUU